Molecule: long non-coding RNA, 213 nt
Filed under: Lathyrus oleraceus (garden pea)
Lineage: Eukaryota; Viridiplantae; Streptophyta; Magnoliopsida; Fabales; Fabaceae
Description: Pisum sativum (pea) long non-coding RNA (PSAT_LNC019102)
Source: RNAcentral
ACAUGCAGCCGCCAUAGGCAUUGACACCUCCUUAUGAGGCACAAUACAAGCGUCAUAGGCACUGGCGCCUCCUCAUGAGGCUUCAAAUGCAGGCGCCAAGGCCUUAGGCGUCUCCUCUUGGUACAAAACGGAUGCGCCAGGUCAUUUGGCGCAUCUUUUUUUAAAUGUGAUUAUUUUAGAAUUUUUUUUAAAUUUUAUUAUUUUGAUUUUUUU